CCGUCACACCAUGGGAGUCGGAAAUGCCCGAAGUCGGUGACUAACCCCUGGUGAGCAUGACCGUACAGACGUGAUAACAGAUCGAAGAUCUGUUAUAUACGCGAAAAAGAAGUACGGAGGUCGUGCUCAGCAGGGGGAAGGAGCCGCCGAAGGCAGGUCGGAUGACUGGGGUGAAGUCGUAACAAGGUAAC
Molecule: ribosomal RNA, 191 nt
Filed under: uncultured bacterium
Lineage: Bacteria
Description: partial 16S ribosomal RNA
Rfam family: Bacterial small subunit ribosomal RNA
Source: RNAcentral